AGUAAUGAUCUUUAAAGCAGCUCAGCAGAAACAGUGCAGUGCUGCUGACCGGAUUGCUCUGUCACAUAUACACAUAUGUAUGUACAUAUACACAAUCACUAAGAUAAUAUAAGUAUAUACAUUUAUGUACACAUGAUUGCUAGUCAGAAAUAUGCAAGUGACAUGUACAUAGGUAUGUAAGUGUUUAAGCUAUGUACGUUGUAUCGGCAAUAUGCAUGGUUAUCGAACAAAAAACACUCAGUUCUGUAUAAAUACAAAAAAGGAAUUAUAUUAACAGUUUAAUGCAAUAUAUUAGUUAAGGAAUAAUAUUAGGUUCAAAAGAUAUAACUAUAUAACAUAAACAUGUAAAAAAAGAUACAUCAACUUGCAUUGAAACAGUGUACAUUAUGUAUGUACAUAUGCCCUAACUAAAACAUACAUACAUACAAUCAUGUAAAUGUCUGAGAACUGCUCUGCGCUUAUAUGUACAAACAAACUAUAGUAGUUUAAAAAGUCCCCGAGUCUGCAAGUCAUUGAAGAGAGUUUUCCAUUUCACAAAAUUUUUUUUUAAUUCAGUGGUGUUUAAUGCAAGUAAGACUAACUCAUUUGUGUGUGUACAUGUGAUUAUAUUGGACACACAUACAUACAAAAUAUGUGUUUGAUUAAAAACGCAUUAUUAAAUAAAAAUUUUAUUACUGCAUGGGCAAUAAGUUUCGGUUUGCCGAAACAAACUUUCUUCCAUGUUCAUUAAAGACUACAAUACAAAAAUUAAAUUUUUUGUAUAGGCGCAUUAUUGCCUAUUGUAUUCUUCUCUAAAAAUCCUAUAAUUAUUAAAUAGUUAUACAUAAGCAGAGUCAGGAGAGUUUGUUUUUCAAAUUACAGGGGGUUUUAACCACUAGUAAUCCCUAUCAGCUUAGAAGAUGAAAAGCAAGAAUUUGACUAUCAGGGGCAAGUUUUCUAUACGCUUUUAAGAAAUCAUGGAAUAUCAUAGGAUAAACGCAGUACAUAAUAACAUCUAUCAUAGAAAUACAAUAUUUAUGGACCAGUAUAUAGUAUAAAUAAUGCUUUAAAAAUAAUAACAUAGAUAUACUGCAGCUUUUUUAAUUUAAAAAACCACAAAGCCAGAAGUGAAACCCGCUAUAAUUUUAAAUACUUUAAUGCUUUUCUUAUUUAUCUAAAAUAUUUAGUUGUGAGUAAUUUAUUACAUUAUAGAUAUGAAAACAUAACAUCCAGUUUUUUGUUAAUUUUUUUUUAUAGUAAAAGGCAAACCAAUUCGACCAACAACAAUAGCAAUUAUACCUAAAUGCCUAAAAUGUGAAUUGAAACAAAAAUAAUACGCGUGUUAAGACAUACGUUUACAAUUUUGCUGCGGAGUACAAUAACACAUAAAAGAAUACGAACAUUGAAAAAAUAAGCAGAAAUUUAUUUACAAAAAUUAUACGGAAAAGCAUCAACCUUUCUUUAGAAACCUUUAUUUAUAUAUAGAAAUGUUAUACCAACAUCAGAAAUUAUAUUUUGUUCAAGUAAUGCACCGAAUUAUUGGUUUUUAUCUUGAAAACAAUAAAACAAUUUGGUCUACGCAGCGAAUGGUAAUAGAUCUGUAACCGUAUUUGCUAUUGAAUAAUAGAUUAAAAAUGUUGAGCUACUAUUAUCCAAAAGAGGCUGACUAACUAUUAUUUUGAAUUCAUUUUUCCCGUCCCUGACCAACUUUUUGAACAAUUUUAUGCAAAUAUAUUUAAAACAAUAGUAAUAGUAAUAUAGUCGAGUUCCCCGGUACCCAGCUAGUGAAUGUGCCAACGAGAAGUUUCAACAUUUUCUGCAAUAACGGUAGAAUAUAGAGAAAAAAUAUUAAAGCAUUGGAAAAAUUAACCUGUAAUAAGUUAACCGGGGAACUCGACUAUACCUUUCUCUCUUGAUUUUCCAUUAAAAAAAAGUACAAAAUAAAAUCAUUAGUUUUCUUUUAGUAGCCCAUUCAUAUAUAAAUAAUAUUCACGGUAGAUAAUACUAAAGUAUAAAGGAACAUUUCCAGUGAUUAAGGAAAUUACAUUUGAAUCAAUCUACUUUAAAUAUAAUUAUGUUAUUGUGGGUAUUUAUAACUCUAUAUGGGAUAAUAUCAUAAAAAUUAGUAACCAAUUAAAUGUUCAUUAGAAGUAGAAAUAACAAAUUUGAAGUAUUAUUUUUGCAAAGUAAAAAAGCAAAAUUUAUUAUAAAAUAAAUGUAAAAAUAAUAAAAUUUAAAUAUCGUUUACGAAAACUACAGUAAGGUGGUUUAUACCCUUUUUUCCCCGUAUCACGUAAAACAACAAAUUAUGCAUUUAUUUAUAUUAAUCUCAAGCCCAAGAAAAAAAGACCCUUUGCUUUUAAGUAAUUGAUAGGAAUUCAGUUUGUAGUGGUAAAAUUGAAAAUAAAAAUUUAGGAUGCAAUUAAAGGAUAAAAUUAUAAGACAACAUAAAAAUGAGGUAAGCAAUGCCAAAUGGCUUUGUUUGUGUACCUGUAAUUGUUAGUUUGCAUGACCACUUAGAUGUUCCCUCAACUGUUGCGUGCUCAGCCUGCUCUAAUGAAUCUAUGUGUGUAUCGGGAUCCACACCGAAUGUCAUCCUUAAAUUAAAUUAGUUACAUAUAUUUUUGAUUUGGGUUUUUAGACAUUCCAAGAAAAUUUUUUAAAUAUCAACAUACUAAUUUUUAUUGGCCAGGCGGUGCGCACACUUAUUUACCCUGUACCCAGAUUAAAAAAUUAAAUUAUUAUAUCAUAACAACAAAGAGGACUGCCCAACUUAUUUCUUAUUGACUCCAUUUAUGUGUUUACCUUAGCAAAAGCUAAAAACUGAAUCUUACAUGUUAGGGCGGCGAGCCCAUACAUGAAAUUAGGCCGCGAGGCUAAUAUAAUACUGGCCCCAUUUAGAACCAAAUUACACGCUUUUGUUCUUUGCCACAUAAGAUUAUUGACUGCUGAAUAAUAAUAAAAAAAUUGUAAACUUUUUGAAUAGAAAUAAACUCGCAGCUUAUUUUAUAUGUGGAUUCAUGUAUACAUGUAUGUAAUGCGUACAUGCAUAUCACACAUUUUUAAAAUACAAAGGUUAAAUACAGUUACACAAAAUCUCACAUUCCUUAUUGUAAACCAAUGUUGUAUUUUUAUAUACAUACCAAUAUAAUAAUAAUGAAUACAGCGUGUCAUUCCAAUGCGAAUUGCAAAUACAUUCACAUACAUCCAACUUAAAUUAAACCGACAACAGAAAACUAGGACGGUGAGAGGAAACUUUCAAACCUGUGAUUGCUAUUUUGGCCGACCACUUGCUUGUACCAUCCAGGACGCUUUGCUUCACAGCCUUCAUAUGACCGGCAUGACUCUUCUCCUCAACGCUGAACACGGCUCUAGUGAAUGAAUCCCAUUUUAAAGUUAACUUUCUUUUGUGUGUAAUAGUUCUGGCCGCUUACCAAACUAGCUUACUUAUUUUAGUAUUUAAGAGUUGGAGUUUGCAUAACAUCAAGUAUUAUUUUGUUUAGAUUAACUUAUUACCCCCACUUAAGGUUUUGAAAUUAAAAUAAUUAAAGGCUUUAUCACUGUAAUUAUACGCACUAGUCAACUUUUACUAUUGAAUGUAAUAUUACCUAAUCAACUCAAAAAUUUCAGGCUUCUCUCGUUCACGUUGCUUCAUACGAUCUUUCAUCGCUGUAAUAAUCGAGUUAGCCUUGUCUUCCGCACCGUGCUUUGAGCUUUUUUCGGCAGCACCUUUGAUUGUAGGAUACAAUUUAUUGCUUUUUAAAUGUACAUGUGUGGUGAAUAUACUUACGCUGCAGGCAGUCCGCAUUCAGAAGGUCCUUACAUUUUUCAUGACACUUUACACCGCACUCAGUGCAACGGACCCCUUGUCGUGCUAUCCCCCACAAAAGACCCUCACACUCGUAGCAGUACGUUGGUGACGUAGCAGUCCAUAACAAAAAAUUGUGGGGCGUUGUUGAGGAUAUAGGAUAUAUCAGGGCUUGUAGAGCUUUUUUGUACACGUGCAUUUUCUAUGGAUUGGAAACAGAUAACGAUAGAUUACAAAAAAAAUCAAAUAACAUUUCCUUCUGUUCAAACCAAAUAAAAUAUAAAGAUACUUUAAAACAAGCAAAAUGUGCCAACGCUAUAAAAUAACAGGUUUUACGGUCAUUUUAUUUGCGCACUAGCUCUAAUGUAUAUUUUAUCAAAUUUAAAAAUUAAGCAAAUGGCCUUACCAGAUCUUCGUCAUUCAGCGUUGCACGUGGAACAGCAGAUGUGAGUCCAGCAUUUCGUUUUGUAGCGGCCAUUGUCUAAAGGGACGUAACGAGGAAUUAGACAUCAAUGAGUUCAUUUUAAGCAUUUAAUAAAUUUUAUUAUGUUAAAAGAUCUCUAUUCAAUCUCGGCGUUAAAACAUAAUAGCCAAAUAAACGUUCUUCAUCACAGCUCUACUGAAGAUACUUAAGAAAUAUUUAAUUACGCUAAUAAAAAGCGUUACAGGCAGAAUGCGAACACAAAUAAGAGUUAAUAAAAUAAUAAGAGUUUUGAGAUAAAUACAAUUAAAAGUGCACGAAUCUUUAUGUACGAGUACCAUUGGUAUACUUUCUUAAUAAUUUUAAACGACUGUAAUACUGUACGAUUUUCGUAUUUUUGUAAUGAUCUUUCUAUGCUUUAUAAUAGAUAUACUUUCAAACGUGUAUGUGUUUUAUCUACCAACCGUGGUCUCGACAUUUUCUUGCAAACUUAGGAGAUAACAUUGAUCCAUUUUCGAGGGCGCAUUAGGAUAAUUCGCCUGAUAGCCGGUGACCAAAAGAAUCAAAAAUUAUUAAUUACUCACGAAAUUAAUUACGUAAGAUGCAUCAUUAAACAUAUUAAUUUUUUAAACAAACAACGUCGUCAAUUACAUUAUUUUUAAUUUAAGAUGGGGAAUUUACUAAAUCAAUUUGUAUGCCAUUUCGUUUACUGGCUUUCGCACGACAUCGAAUUUAAGUAAUCCUGAAUUAUAUUCUACGCUACCAUCGAUUUGAAAGUUUGCAAUAGAAGAAAUGAAUGAGGCCAAAUACACUGGCCUUUUUUACGAAUACAAAACUAUAUUGCCAGUCCGCUCCUCUAUAGCAAUUACGAAGGCUUUGAUUAAAUUCUACACGUCUUUUUUGUAUAAAGUACACAUAUAUUUUCUUGUUGUUUAAAAUGAAAGAAGUUUGUUUUCUAAAUCAAAUUUUUGUUAUAUUGCAGUUAAGAAAAAACUUUAGAGGGUCUUACUAGUGCGAUGUUAAACAAAAUUAGCAUUUUAACGGUGUUAUGAUGGCUACCAAAUUAUUCUCUGAAAUCCUGAAUAAUCUACAGUGUAUUUUUGUACGCAUGCACGAAAUUAUAUAUUAAAUUAAAUAAUUUAAUAUUAUAUUGUAUUAAUAAAUAUUAUUA
Drosophila melanogaster (fruit fly) is the source of this 5379-nucleotide non-coding RNA. NCBI's taxonomy places the organism in Eukaryota, Metazoa, Arthropoda, Insecta, Diptera, Drosophilidae. The record is from Ensembl.